CACGACAACUAACGACAAGAGGCUUCAGAGCACCUUGAAAAGAGUAGGAGGGAACACCAUUCCUGGUAUUGAGGAGGUCUACAUUUUCAAGAAUGAUGUAGUUAUUCAAUGAUUUUUCCUUGCUACGGGGAUUUUCUGGGCAUGAUUAUGGGCGAGUGGAGAUUUUCUGGGCGAUUGAAUGAUUUUUCCUUGCUACGGGGGUGGUGGGAGGACGAUGGAAAUUCUUUUUUCGUACGACGUUUUUUUCGCUCGUUCGCUGGGUUGGACGAUGUACGAAGGGAGGUGACGUACGGACAACUGAGGCUUAAGGAAUAGUAAAGAUAGUAGUUCCGUGUGUGUGGCUGUGUGCAAGAAAUGCCCAAUGAGAAUGGCAGCAACAAAUUUAAGUAAACCUGUUUGCUACUCCCUCCGAUCCAUAAUAAUUGUCUCAAACUUAGUACAAGUUGAUCUGAGACACUUAUUAUGGAUCGGAGGGAGUACACUAUUAGCUUAACAGAAUUCAGUAUGUAAUCGAAACGGUGUAUCUCAUAGUUAAGGAAACCUGUUUGUUACAACUAGAUAGUUUGGUGCCUGAGAGUUACAACUUACAAGUGCAUUUUCAUAUCUGUAUAUCGCGAUCUGGUUUACAUUGCAGAAAGCUGAAUCUAAAUAAUAAUGACCACUAAAGAUUUGGAUGCACAGAGCAUGACGAAAAUAAGCAAGGUUUUUGAGUUUCAUACUACUGUUUUUAGCAAGGAAAAAAAGAGCAAAUGACUUUGCCUUACUACACUACAAUCAUGCAGCCUGCGGUUCAUCUUUGAUUAACAGUUUACUAUGCAUGACCUAUAGAAACAUUCAUUAUAAAAUGAUUCUGUUACCUUUGGUUUAUUUCUAUUUGGUGACUUAUUUUAAUCUUUGUUUAUGUCUGUACUUUCACAGUUUUUUCAACCUCCCCAAUUUGGCCGCCUCCAUAUAUAGCGUGGAGCUCUCGAAUAGGCUGCAUGUCCCCUACUGGUCCUUCAUCCCCUGUUCCAGAUUUGGUGAUUGCUGCCAUAUAUUUUCAGAAGGAUCUUUCUACGUGGAACAUUUGGUUAGGAUCCUUGUUGAUCGGCA
This 1092-nucleotide long non-coding RNA is filed under the name Brachypodium distachyon (stiff brome). Its description in RNAcentral is "long non-coding RNA (BDIS_LNC000170)". Lineage: Eukaryota; Viridiplantae; Streptophyta; Magnoliopsida; Poales; Poaceae. The record is from RNAcentral.